GGUCCCGUAGCUUAACUGAAUAGAGCAUCUGACUACGGAUCAGAAGGUUGUGGGUUUGACUCCCGCCGGGAUCA
This 74-nucleotide transfer RNA is filed under the name Bacteroidales bacterium. Its description in RNAcentral is "tRNA-Arg". It matches the Rfam family "tRNA". From Rfam's summary of the family: Transfer RNA (tRNA) molecules are approximately 80 nucleotides in length. Lineage: Bacteria; Pseudomonadati; Bacteroidota; Bacteroidia; Bacteroidales. The record is from RNAcentral.